UUUUAUGAGAGUUUGAUCCUGGCUCAGGACGAACGCUGGCGGCGUGCCUAAUACAUGCAAGUCGAACGCUUCUUUUUCCACCGGAGCUUGCUCCACCGGAAAAAGAAGAGUGGCGAACGGGUGAGUAACACGUGGGUAACCUGCCCAUCAGAAGGGGAUAACACUUGGAAACAGGUGCUAAUACCGUAUAACAAUCAAAACCGCAUGGUUUUGAUUUGAAAGGCGCUUUCGGGUGUC
This 237-nucleotide ribosomal RNA is filed under the name Enterococcus faecium. RNAcentral's name for it is "partial 16S ribosomal RNA". It matches the Rfam family "Bacterial small subunit ribosomal RNA", at positions 1 to 216 of the family's 1533-position model. The record is from RNAcentral. Lineage: Bacteria; Bacillati; Bacillota; Bacilli; Lactobacillales; Enterococcaceae.